AUGAAUAAUCUGACCAAUAUUGUUGAAUUGUGCUUGGAUGGUAACAAAUUUACAGGGACAUUACCUCAUGAUCUGGCAGGACAGUCUAUAAACGUCAUUGAUUUGCAUGAUAACGAGCUGUCUGGCAAACUCGAUACGUCAUUUUGGAAUAUGUCUUAUUUGAGAGCCCUGAAUCUUGCUGGUAACCAUAUAACUGGCAAAAUUGGUCAACACAUUUGUGGCUUCACAAGAAUUCGCCUUUUAGAUCUAUCGCACAACAACCUCACAGGGUCUGUACCAAACAGUUGCUUCAUAGGGCUCAAAUUUCUUAACCUUACUGGGAACUCCUUAUCUGGCGAUAUCUCUUUUCUCCUUUACAACACAUCUAGUCUGAUUGCUUUGGAUAUCAGACACAAUCAGUUCACGGGCAACCUAAACUGGGUACGUUAUCUUGACAGCAUUAGGCUACUUUCACUGGGCGGAAACAAGUUUGAAGGGCAGAUCACUCCAAACCUUUGCAGACUCGUGUACUUGAGGAUACUUGAUUUGUCGCAUAACAGACUUUCAGGUUCGCUAGCGGUAUUGUUGGAGUUGUGUCGAAUAUUGUGUACAAGGUAG
RNAcentral lists this ribosomal RNA (597 nucleotides) under Triticum aestivum (bread wheat). Its description in RNAcentral is "partial small subunit ribosomal RNA". Lineage: Eukaryota; Viridiplantae; Streptophyta; Magnoliopsida; Poales; Poaceae. The record is from RNAcentral.